This 560-nucleotide long non-coding RNA is filed under the name Homo sapiens (human). Its description in RNAcentral is "HSALNT0336335". Lineage: Eukaryota; Metazoa; Chordata; Mammalia; Primates; Hominidae. The record is from RNAcentral.
CUGCUAGUCAGCCUGGUUCCACAUUUGCAGCUUAUCAAAAGGGACAAGGAAUUAAUAUCAGAUUUAUUUGGAGAAAACAGAAAUCCCACAACCCAAAGGAUGGGAUUUUACAUCAAGACAUCUCCCAGGCUGACAUUUCUUGGCAACCUACGGAAGCUGUUCUGAUGAGCCUCUGUGUUAGUAAAGAAUACAUCUCUAUAAAUGGACUGCAGUACAGCUGACCUUGGACAGGCUUAUUUGGGCCUAACUGGGUUCUAAGCUUUCUGCUGGGUUCAGCUCUUUGUACUUCAGGCAACAACACCUGAGAGGAUUUUUCUGGCAGGCGAAAAAAUGUUUGCAAUGACUUUGAUGAUACGGUGACUGAGGUGUAUUUAUCCUUAGGUGCAUAAGCAAUGGCACACAACCAAAGACUGGCUGCUACCUUCACAUUCCUUCUAAAGGGGCUAAAAGGAAGAAGUAUGGAAAAAUGUAUCCACUCAAGUAGAAAUUUUAUAUUGAGUGUGCAGUUUUGAUUUUGAAUGUCUGAUUUUGUUUGUAGGCCAAAAAAGACUGUGAUUCCA